GACCUGGUGCCCACUUUGGACUCUGUGUGUGUCUCUCCCUCUCUGUCCCUCCCCCACUUGCACUCUUUCUCUCUCACUCAAACAUUAAAAAAAAAAAAAAAAAAAAAAAAAAAAAAAAAAAAAAAAAAAAAAAAAAAAAAAAAAAAAAAAAAAAAAAAAAAAAAAAAAAAAAAAAAAAAAAAAAAAAAAAAAAAAAAAAAAAAAAAAAAAAAAAAAAAAAAAAAAAAAAAAAAAAAAAAAAAAAAAAAAAAAAAAAAAAAAAAAAAAAAAAAAAAAAAAAAAAAAAAAAAAAAAAAAAAAAAAAAAAAAAAAAAAAAAAAAAAAAAAAAAAAAAAAAAAAAAAAAAAAAAAAAAAAAAAAAAAAAAAAAAAAAAAAAAAAAAAAAAAAAAAAAAAAAAAAAAAAAAAAAAAAAAAAAAAAAAAAAAAAAAAAAAAAAAAAAAAAAAAAAAAAAAAAAAAAAAAAAAAAAAAAAAAAAAAAAAAAAAAAAAAAAAAAAAAAAAAAAAAAAAAAAAAAAAAAAAAAAAAAAAAAAAAAAAAAAAAAAAAAAAAAAAAAAAAAAAAAAAAAAAAAAAAAAAAAAAAAAAAAAAAAAAAAAAAAAAAAAAAAAAAAAAAAAAAAAAAAAAAAAAAAAAAAAAAAAAAAAAAAAAAAAAAAAAAAAAAAAAAAAAAAAAAAAAAAAAAAAAAAAAAAAAAAAAAAAAAAAAAAAAAAAAAAAAAAAAAAAAAAAAAAAAAAAAAAAAAAAAAAAAAAAAAAAAAAAAAAAAAAAAAAAAAAAAAAAAAAAAAAAAAAAAAAAAAAAAAAAAAAAAAAAAAAAAAAAAAAAAAAAAAAAAAAAAAAAAAAAAAAAAAAAAAAAAAAAAAAAAAAAAAAAAAAAAAAAAAAAAAAAAAAAAAAAAAAAAAAAAAAAAAAAAAAAAAAAAAAAAAAAAAAAAAAAAAAAAAAAAAAAAAAAAAAAAAAAAAAAAAAAAAAAAAAAAAAAAAAAAAAAAAAAAAAAAAAAAAAAAAAAAAAAAAAAAAAAAAAAAAAAAAAAAAAAAAAAAAAAAAAAAAAAAAAAAAAAAAAAAAAAAAAAAAAAAAAAAAAAAAAAAAAAAAAAAAAAAAAAAAAAAAAAAAAAAAAAAAAAAAAAAAAAAAAAAAAAAAAAAAAAAAAAAAAAAAAAAAAAAAAAAAAAAAAAAAAUAAAAAUAUGGCACAGCAAACCCAAGACCAGUGAGACAAUUGCAAAAUGUGAAACACACACAUGUUAG
This 1248-nucleotide long non-coding RNA is filed under the name Felis catus (domestic cat). Its description in RNAcentral is "lncRNA (ENSFCAG00000051622.1)". Lineage: Eukaryota; Metazoa; Chordata; Mammalia; Carnivora; Felidae. The record is from RNAcentral.